This 77-nucleotide transfer RNA is filed under the name Bathymodiolus azoricus thioautotrophic gill symbiont. Its description in RNAcentral is "tRNA-Ile". It matches the Rfam family "tRNA". Rfam says of the family: Transfer RNA (tRNA) molecules are approximately 80 nucleotides in length. Their secondary structure includes four short double-helical elements and three loops (D, anti-codon, and T loops). The record is from RNAcentral. Lineage: Bacteria; Pseudomonadati; Pseudomonadota; Gammaproteobacteria. RNAcentral also lists the same sequence under 1 other name.
AGGGGCCAUAGCUCAGCUGGGAGAGCGCUUGCCUUGCACGCAAGAGGUCGGGAGUUCGAUCCUCCCUGGCUCCACCA